AUGGGCUGGAUCGCUCCACCGGCGGGGCUCACAAAAAUAAACGUCGAUGCUGCAGUCGGAAGGGGAAGGAGACAUGGAGCCGUGGCGGCAAUAUCAAGAGAUAACACUGGCCAGUUUUUAGGGGCAUCGGUGGUGGUCUAUGGAGGCAUAUCCGAUCCAGCGACACUCGAAUGUAUGGCGGUCAGAGAGGCACUAGCCCUCGCUGAAGAUUUGAAUGUGACAGACAUCAAAGUGGCAUCCGACUCGAAGGUGGUGGUCACCGACAUCCGAGAGAAGAACCCAACGGAGUAUGGAGCAAUCGUACAUGAAAUAAUAGAACGUAGUUCAUCUUUCCUUUUUUGUAACUUUUGUCAUGAAUUUAGGAGCUCGAACACCGAGGCUCACAAGCUCGCGAGGCACGCUUUAUCCCUUCCGGUUGGCCGACAUGUUUGGUUGGGCCAGCCGGAUGGACUUUCGUUCGUCCAUGUAAACAUUGUGACGUCAUAA
RNAcentral lists this ribosomal RNA (486 nucleotides) under Triticum aestivum (bread wheat). RNAcentral's name for it is "partial small subunit ribosomal RNA". Lineage: Eukaryota; Viridiplantae; Streptophyta; Magnoliopsida; Poales; Poaceae. The record is from RNAcentral.